Molecule: ribosomal RNA, 301 nt
Filed under: uncultured bacterium
Lineage: Bacteria
Description: partial 16S ribosomal RNA
Rfam family: Bacterial small subunit ribosomal RNA
Source: RNAcentral
CAGUCGCCAGGUAAUACGGAGGGUGCAAGCGUUAAUCGGAAUUACUGGGCGUGAAGCGUGCGUAGGCGGUUCGUUAAGUCUGUUGUGAAAGCCCCGGGCUCAACCUGGGAAUGGCAAUGGAUACUGGCGAGCUAGAGUGUGUCAGAGGAUGGUGGAAUUCCCGGUGUAGCGGUGAAAUGCGUAGAGAUCGGGAGGAACAUCAGUGGCGAAGGCGGCCAUCCGGGACAACACUGACGCUGAGGCACGAAAGCGUGGGGAGCAAACAGGAUUAGAUACCCGGGUAGUCCCUGUCUCUUAUACA